This 399-nucleotide ribosomal RNA is filed under the name uncultured bacterium. RNAcentral describes it as "bacterial SSU rRNA". It matches the Rfam family "Bacterial small subunit ribosomal RNA", at positions 358 to 774 of the family's 1533-position model. The record is from RNAcentral.
GGAAUAUUGGGCAAUGGGCGAAAGCCUGACCCAGCAACGCCGCGUGAAGGAAGAAGGUUUUCGGAUCGUAAACUUCUGUCCUAUAUGAAGAUAAUGACGGUAGUAUAGGAGGAAGCCCCGGCUAACUACGUGCCAGCAGCCGCGGUAAUACGUAGGGGGCGAGCGUUGUCCGGAAUGAUUGGGCGUAAAGGGCGCGUAGGCGGCCUGGUAAGUCUGGAGUGAAAGUCCUGCUUUUAAGGUGGGAAUUGCUUUGGAUACUGUUGGGCUUGAGUGCAGGAGAGGUUAUCGGAAUUCCCGGUGUAGCGGUGAAAUGCGUAGAGAUCGGGAGGAACACCAGUGGCGAAGGCGGGUAACUGGACUGCAACUGACGCUGAGGCGCGAAAGUGUGGGGAGCAAACA